GAAAUGCGAUAAGUAGUGUGAAUUGCAGAAUUCAGUGAAUCAUCGAAUCUUUGAACGCACAUUGCGCCCUUUGGUAUUCCUUAGGGCAUGCCUGUUCGAGCGUCAUCUAAACCUUCAAGCCCUGCUUGGUGUUGGGUGCCUGUCCCGCCUCCGCGCACGGACUCACCUCAAAUCCAUUGGCGGCCCCCGCGUCGGCCACGAGCGCAGCAGAAACGCGAACUCGUGAGCCCGUCCGGGCGGCUCCCAGAAGCUACACCCACCCAGUUUGACCUCGGAUCAGGUAGGGAUACCCGCUGAACUUAAGC
This 305-nucleotide unclassified non-coding RNA is filed under the name plant metagenome. RNAcentral's name for it is "partial contains 5.8S ribosomal RNA, internal transcribed spacer 2, and large subunit ribosomal RNA". The stretch from base 1 to 105 matches the Rfam family "5.8S ribosomal RNA", at positions 50 to 154 of the family's 154-position model. The record is from RNAcentral.